UCCCACCUCUUCCCAUCCCGAACAGAGAAGUUAAGCCCUGCAGCGCCGAUGGUACUGGGGUUACACCCGGGAGAGUAGGUCGCCGCCACAU
This 91-nucleotide ribosomal RNA is filed under the name Algoriphagus faecimaris. RNAcentral also lists the same sequence under 1 other name. Lineage: Bacteria; Pseudomonadati; Bacteroidota; Cytophagia; Cytophagales; Cyclobacteriaceae. The record is from RNAcentral.